GAGGCAUUGGCUUAACGGUAAAGCAUCCUCCUUCAUAAGUACAUCGCUUGUUUUGGGAUGUACUUAUGAAGGGGACGAUCGAGGUUCAAAUCCUCGGUGCCUCACCA
Molecule: transfer RNA, 107 nt
Filed under: bacterium
Lineage: Bacteria
Description: tRNA-OTHER
Rfam family: tRNA
About the family: Transfer RNA (tRNA) molecules are approximately 80 nucleotides in length.
Source: RNAcentral